UUGCUUAAGGUGGUACCUAACACUACAGGGAGAUAACUCUGUAAAAUCAGCUAAACGUUUUAACUACGUUGCGUUGUUAAAAGAAUAUUAAGCUUCUCAAUGAUCAAAAUAAGUGUUUGUCAAACUGCUAUAUAACCAGUGUAAUUUUUCUGAUAAAACGGUUGGUUCAAAUUUUUUGAAAUUUUUAUAUUUUUGUCAAAGGGUCAAAGUAAAUACUUUGUCAAAAUUUUAA
This 232-nucleotide long non-coding RNA is filed under the name Mytilus galloprovincialis (Mediterranean mussel). Lineage: Eukaryota; Metazoa; Mollusca; Bivalvia; Mytilida; Mytilidae. The record is from RNAcentral.